This 1213-nucleotide long non-coding RNA is filed under the name Equus caballus (horse). RNAcentral's name for it is "lncRNA (ENSECAG00000050961.1)". Lineage: Eukaryota; Metazoa; Chordata; Mammalia; Perissodactyla; Equidae. The record is from RNAcentral.
UUGCCUUUCCAAACACACAGUUAUAAUUCUAGUCUGCCUGAGGCAUCCAUCGCUCUGAAGGGAAAUCAGGGUCUGCUGCAGAAGGGAUACAAAGAAUAAGACCCAGGUGAUGUUCAGCUUUUGACAUUGAAAAUUCAGCUUUUGCCUAGCCCUGAGUCCUGAAGAGUUUCUCCUAUAUAGUUUUCUAAUAAUUUUUGUCUAAAGUUUUUGUCUAAAAAAUCAGCUGACAAUCCCUAACAAUCAGUUGUUUGCCAGGUGAUUAGCUGCCUCUCUACCUUCCUCGUGGUCCGAUAAACUGCAGGAACGUAUGGAAUCAUUCACACUUAGCUUGUGCUGGGCCAGGCCGCGCAUGUCACCUUGAGUUUCGCUGGCCGCUGACAAGACCUCAAGCUGCCAAGAGCUGCCGCACUAUCCUUCCCCGGCUCCCAUUUUAAUGGAAGGGGUCGCUGGCAGGGCCAGGAGAUUAAGAGCAUGCCCCUUAUUCAGCUUUAUCUCAGCAAGUAUUCAUAGUUUUAGAGUUGCAAGGGACCUUCUCAAAGGGAACAGGCUAAAACCAAGGAAUGUUCAGUGAUUUUUUUCCAAUUUACAGAAUCUUCAGCUUCUGACUCCCAGGCUGAGCUCUUUUCAUUGUCCCCACAAAGCACCAGCCAGUGGACUACUGGUCACUCCUCCUGGCCUGCCGCAGCCUCUGUCCCAUAACAGGGAGCAAACAGCUGUGGCGGCUCAGAGAAUCCGCCAGGUCGUAGCAAUUUAAUCCAGUGCUCUCAUGGGGAUCUGCUGUGAGCAUCUCAUGCAGGGGCUCCGAGCUGCCAGCUUUCCCUCCGAGCUGCCUUCAGCGUCCUGUCCUCGCCCUCACAGCCUGGGAGUUCUGGAGGCUGGAAGUUUGAGAUCAGGGUGCCAGCAUGGACAAAUUCUGGUGGGAACUCCUUUCUGAGCUGAAGACUGAUAACUUAUUGACACUCUUAAAAGAAUGAGAAGUCAAGGGGCUGGCCCCGUGGCCGAGUGGUUAAGUUUGCGUGCUCCUCUGCAGGCGGCCCAGUGUUUCGUGGGUUCGAAUCCUGGGCAUGGACAUGGCACUGCUCAUCAAACCACGCUGAGGCAGCGUCCCUCAUGCCACAACUAGAAGGACCCACAAAGAAGAAUAUACAACUAUGUACCGGGGGGCUUUGGGGAGGAAAUGGAAAAAAAUAAAAUCUUUGGAAAAAAAAAAGAA